RNAcentral lists this ribosomal RNA (406 nucleotides) under uncultured bacterium. RNAcentral's name for it is "partial 16S ribosomal RNA". It matches the Rfam family "Bacterial small subunit ribosomal RNA", at positions 30 to 526 of the family's 1533-position model. The record is from RNAcentral.
AUUGAACGCUGGCGGCAGGCCUAACACAUGCAAGUCGAACGAGUGGCGGACGGGUGAGUAAUGUCUGGGAAACUGCCUGAUGGAGGGGGAUAACUCCUGGAAACGGUAGCUAAUACCGCAUACCAUCAGAUGUGCCCAGAUGGGAUUAGCUUGUUGGUGGGGUAACGGCUCACCAAGGCGACGAUCCCUAGCUGGUCUGAGAGGAUGACCGGCCACACGGGACCUGAGACACGGUCCAUACUCCUACGGAAGGAGUCAGUGGGAAAUAUUGCAAAAUGGGCGAAAGCCUGAUGCAGCCAUGCCGCGUGGAUAAAGAAGGCCUUCGGGUGGUAAAGUACUUUCAGCGGGGAGGCGGUACCCGCAUAAGAAGCAACGGCUAACUCCGUGCCAGCAGCCGCGGUAAUUC